CCCUUAGGUGUUCUGGGCCGCACGCGUGCUACACUGAGUGGAUCAGCGGGUCAGGUUGCGCGAAAGUGUUUCCUAAUCUUGAAAUCCGCUCGUGAUGGGGAUUGACGGUUGCAAUUUUCCGUCAUGAACGAGGAAUACCUUGUAAGCGCGGGUCAUCAUCCCGCGCUGAAUACGUCCCUGCCCUUUGUACACACCGCCCGUCGCUCCUACCGAUUGAGUGGUCCGGUGAGGCUUUGGGAUCUGAGCAAAGAGAGCGUUUCGCUCGUUUUGCCCGGAAAACUCAGUCGAACCUUAUCAUUUAGAGGAAGGAGAAGUCGUAACA
Molecule: ribosomal RNA, 322 nt
Filed under: uncultured eukaryote
Lineage: Eukaryota
Description: partial 18S ribosomal RNA
Rfam family: Eukaryotic small subunit ribosomal RNA
Source: RNAcentral